Myotis brandtii (Brandt's bat) is the source of this 211-nucleotide long non-coding RNA. RefSeq lists it as uncharacterized. The transcript has 3 exons. The record is from RefSeq and is a predicted model, not a curated record. NCBI's taxonomy places the organism in Eukaryota, Metazoa, Chordata, Mammalia, Chiroptera, Vespertilionidae.
AGUUCAUCAACAGGAUACAGGUCGUUGUCUCCUGCCUGAGAGGAGGACUCCACGUCACUCCAUGAGACAAGCCCCUGAUUGACUGCUCUGCUGUGUGAGCCUGAACCAAGUGUGGCCACCUGUCUGUCUCCGUCUUCUUCAUCCGUCUUUCGGUGUGCAUUGCCGGGUGGCCUUUGCUGGAGCCUAGGACCCACUAGGAAUAUAUAAAUAA